UGUAGUUUCAGAGUUGAUGGAGCACUAGGGCGUAUUUGAGGAAAGUCCGAGCUCCGUAGGGCAGGGUGCUGGAUAACGUCCAGCGAGGGUGACCUCAGGGAAAGUGCCACAGAAAUGUAGACCGCCUGGUAUUUUCCAGGUAAGGAUGGAACGGUGCGGUAAGAGCGCACCAGCAAUCAGGUGACUGAUUGGCUAGGUAAACCCCACUUGGAGCAAGACCGAAUAGGGAAGGGAUGAAGCUGCCCGCUGAGCCUUCCGGGUUGCGUCGCUUGAGCUGUCAGGCAACUGACAGCCUAGAUAAAUAAUCGUCGCCGCGCGAGCGGAACAGAACUCGGCUUAUUGAUGACUCAUAAU
This 354-nucleotide RNase P RNA is filed under the name Propionispora hippei DSM 15287. Its description in RNAcentral is "Bacterial RNase P class A". It matches the Rfam family "Bacterial RNase P class A". Rfam says of the family: Ribonuclease P (RNase P) is a ubiquitous endoribonuclease, found in archaea, bacteria and eukarya as well as chloroplasts and mitochondria. Its best characterised activity is the generation of mature 5'-ends of tRNAs by cleaving the 5'-leader elements of precursor-tRNAs. Cellular RNase Ps are ribonucleoproteins. Lineage: Bacteria; Bacillati; Bacillota; Negativicutes; Selenomonadales; Sporomusaceae. The record is from RNAcentral.